This is a long non-coding RNA of Oncorhynchus tshawytscha (Chinook salmon), 864 nucleotides long. Lineage: Eukaryota; Metazoa; Chordata; Actinopteri; Salmoniformes; Salmonidae. The record is from Ensembl.
GAUCGUGUUCCUCUGGUUAAACAGACAGAGCUUCUAGAAGCCUGAGAUCGUGUUCCUCUGGUUAAACAGACAGAGCUUCUAGAAGCCUGAGAUAGUGUUCCUCUGGUUAAACAGACAGAGCUUCUAGAAGCCUGAGAUCGUGUUCCUCUGGUUAAACAGACAGAGCUUCUAGAAGCCUGAGAUCGUGUUCCUCUGGUUAAACAGACAGAGCUUCUAGAAGCCUGAGAUCGUGUUCCUCUGGUUAAACAGACAGAGCUUCUCCUCAGCCUGCUGGCAAACAAAAACAGCCCACUGUCCGACUGGUCCACCUAGAAGGCUCUCUGACGCUGUCACACGCUGUGUUGCUCUCUGGUCUGGUAAUCUAAUGGUGUGUCCUUACUAAACUGGAUGGGGACGUGCCGUGGUUGGAUCUCUCUUUUUAACUGUGAACGGUAGCAGUCCAGUUCAGUCCCCACCCCCAUAGCGCUGAGCUCAUCUAUCAGCCUAAUCACCAGUCACUCUCUCUCACUCAGUCUAACACACAUCUUUAUCAGCAGCCUCUGUGUGUGUAGAGGCACUGGGCUGUGAUCAGGUGUCUCCUAAAAAGGCAAUAACCUCGUCCCCAGAACUCCAGGGCUACUGCCAGGGCUGGAGGGUUAGAGGGCUGGGGGGUCAGAGGACUGGGGGGGUUAGAGGGCUGGAGGGUUAGAGGGCUGGAGGGUUGAGGGCUGGAGGGUUGAGGGCUGGAGGUGUUAGAGGGCUGGAGGGUUAGUGGGCAAUAAGAGGGCUGGAGGGAAGGGCUCCAGGGCUAAUGAGGGCUGGAGGGUUAGAGGUAGGGGGGGGUUAGAGGGCUGGGGGUUAGAGGGCUGGGGUUAGAGGGCUGGG